This 415-nucleotide ribosomal RNA is filed under the name Microstomum papillosum. Its description in RNAcentral is "partial 16S ribosomal RNA". It matches the Rfam family "Bacterial large subunit ribosomal RNA", at positions 1808 to 2610 of the family's 2925-position model. Lineage: Eukaryota; Metazoa; Platyhelminthes; Dolichomicrostomida; Microstomidae. The record is from RNAcentral.
UAAAAACAUUGUUAAUUUUUUAAUUAAUACAACCUGCUCGGUGAAAUUUUAACAGCCUCAGUAUCUUAACUGGGCAAAGGUAGCAUAAUUACUUGUUUUUUGAAUAAAAACUUGUUUGAAGGGUUAAACCUUUUUUUUUCAUAAAAAUAAUUUUGAAUUUUCUUUAAAGUAAAAAAGCUUUAAAUAAAAAAAAGACGAGAAGACCCUUAAAGCUUUWAAUUUUAAAUGGGGUAUUUAGAUAAUUUUUUURGAUUAUAUURAAGAAUAAGUUACUUAAGGGAUAACAGGAUAAUAUUAAAUAAAGGUCAUAUUUACUUUAAUGUUUUUUACCUCGAUGUUGAAUUAAUUUUUCCUUUUUAUGCAACAGUAUAAAUGGUCAGCCUGUUCGGCUGUUAAAAAAUUACAUGAUUUGAGU